This 5856-nucleotide long non-coding RNA is filed under the name Phaseolus vulgaris (common bean). Its description in RNAcentral is "long non-coding RNA (PVUL_LNC001306)". The record is from RNAcentral. Lineage: Eukaryota; Viridiplantae; Streptophyta; Magnoliopsida; Fabales; Fabaceae.
AAAGUUAUUAUUUAUGCUAUCAUUUAGAGCAUUUAAUAUAAAAUAUUUGUUGAAAAUUAUGCGGAAUUGCAUAAAAAUUAUUAGAAAACAUAUGCUAUUUUUCCUAUUAAAAAUAUUUUUCUUUAAACUUUUUAUCAAUAAUUUGUGCACUUAUUAGUGUUCCUACUAGGGAGAUGGGACCUAGAGUACUGUUAAAGUCUUCUUCUCCUUCCUUCAGUCGGUCAAGUCGUUGGGUGAUGAACUGAGAUUUUUCUCGUUCUCCUGCUUCUCCUUCGGCACUCGGUCUCGGUGAACACCGGAUGGUGGGGGUACCUGCAAAGGCACUCCGACGCUCAAGUCAGUAAAGCGGGUGAUGGUGCUCUGGUAGGUGAACAGUAAUAAAUGACAUACAUUACUCCUUGGGAUGCAUGCUAUUUAUAUUAUUCUAAUGACCCUACCUUGUUGGGCCCGUUUUAUCGAGGUGGACCCUGUUUAGGAUUGCAUUACCUAAUCCUUAAUGACGGGUUAGCUUAACUGACCUGGGUUUGAGCAUUGACGGUAAUAUGGGUCGGCCGUCGGCCAAGUCUUUUAAGGAGUUGGCCUCGCCUUGGUCGUCUCGGCCAAAGUCUCGACCAUGUAGACCAUCGGUCUCGUCCUCUUGGCUGAGUCUCUCAGGUUUCGGCCAAGUUCCUCUGGUCUCAGUCAAGUAGACCAGGUCUCAGGCAGUCAGGUGGGUCUCGGUCAAGGAGACAAGGAGUCGGCCUCACCCAUAUUGAUACAAUUAGCAUUUCAAUAUUUAAAAAAAAAAUAUUUAAAAUGAAUAUUUUAUAUGUGAGUCUUCAUAGCAUUGAUUAAAUCAUUAACAAUUUUUUUAUUGAAAAUAGCAUAGACUACAUUAAAAAGAUCAUAGGAGAUUAUAUUUCUACACGUCUUAAUAAAAAAUCUUAUAAAUUUUUAAUCAAACACUAGUUUGCAUUUGCCUUUUAUCUUUUGUACGACAAUAGUAACAUUAGAACUUAAAACUUCUACAAUAGACCAAGGUUUUACUGGUAAUGUUUAAUACAUAGUAGUGAUGUCACAUAAUAAAUAAAUAAAAUAUUUGUAAGACUAAGAAAAAUGUGGAGAUAAUUUUUAACAUUUAGCGUUGGCCAAUAAUGAUAUUGUUAAAAUUAGUUAAAGAGAUUUCUACACGAUACAAACUGUUUAUAAUUAUUUUAAUAAUAUGUAAUUCAUAAAAAUGUUAUAAAUUUUAAUCAUAUAAAAUAUUUGAAAGAAAAGAUAUUAAAGUGGACUUAGUCACCUUUAAUAAUAUUAGAAAAAUAUAAGAAUUAUAUAACCGUUUCUAAUAAUAUUAAAUAUAUUAUAAUAAUUAUAAAUAUGUUACAAAAUAUAUUAUAAUUAAUUUAAUCGAUUCUAAUAAUAUUAAAUAUAGUAUAAAAAUAAGAUAAUAAAGUUAUUUUAACUUAUUUUAAUAAUAUUAAAUAUAUUUUAAUAAUAAAAAUAUUUUAAUAUUUAUUUAGGUUAGUAUUAACUUUUUUUUAACUAUUGUGACGAUAACUAUGACUUGUUAAUUAUUUUUAAUUAAUCAUCUUCUCAUUCACAAUUUUUUUGAAAUCUCCUCACAGUUGUCUAUUUCACUCAUAUUUAUUUCAUUUAUUCAUAUAUAUUUUCUUCAUUCACCCUUAUCUUUCCCUCUCCUUUAUUCACAUUCAUAUAAUUCUUUGAUAUUUAUCUUUCUUGUUCAUACUUUUCUCCUUCAUCAACAAUUUUUUUCUAUUUUAUUUUUUAAAGAUAAAAAUCUUGCAUGAGAAAUUUCUUUUUUAAAAUUAUUGUCAUUAGCAUACGUUAAAUUAACACAAAUUAAAUUAAUAUUAAAAUUAUAUUUUAUUUAAUAUCGAUUAAACGGUGUUAAUAUGUUUUUAUUUUAAAAUUUAUUUAAUUUAAUGUUGAUUAUUUUUAAUUAAAAAUUAAUGAUGAAUUAGUAUCGAUUUUGAAAAGUUGAAAUUAAUGAAUAAACGUUUAUUAUUGAUUAAUUAGUGUUAAUCUUUAUUUAUUAAUGUUAAUUUUUGAAUAACGUUAAACAUAUAUUUUCUUACAGUUUAAUGAGUGUUCUUGAUAUUUUCGUUAUGAAAUUAAAAAAAAAUUAUCAAAAUUCUCUAGAAGAGGGUAUUUUUAUGUAACCCAAUUAAAAAAAAAUACUAAUUUUAUUUCUUUAACCAUUGUCAAUCAAUGUUCUAGGGUAGUAUUGGUAAGCAUUUUCCAAUAAAAAAAACAUUCCAUUGACUAUAGGACAAAUGCUAAUUAAUAUCCUAAAAAUAAUUAUUAAGGAAUAAAAAGAAUUUUGUAUUAUUAAAAUACAUGAAUAAUACUUAAGAAAAACAGUCCCAUAUAUAUUUUCAGUAAAUUUUUCUCAUUUUAACUUUUAAACUGGUAAAUCUAACAUAAUUCAAUAGCUAGAAUUUAUAAAAGAUUUAUAAGAAAGGUUGCUCUGUGAAAGUGAUAAAAAAUAACCAUUUCAAAGAGAAUAAAAAGAAGUUGACACAAUUACAAGUUCUAUUAAAAAACUCAAGCAUGGUGGACACUGUAAAACAGAUGAUAGAAUAUAAGAAUGGUUAUAAUGGUGAGUUGCUGAAUCAAUCUUCCAUUAUUUUACCAAAAUAUUAAACUCUUAUUUAAUUAACAUGCUAAUAAUUUGCUGAAGUCUUUCUGAAGUUGUUUUAACCAUGAAAGUUGAAUAUUUGUUUGAAGUUGCAGCGUCACCUGUUUUAUCUCAUGCUAUUUCAUCUUUCCUUAAGUUCCAUUGAAUCCUAAUCAGCUUCUCUUAUCCUUAUCUCCAUGGAAAUUUCCACACACUUUCGGAUUCAUGCUCUUUAGCCUUCACCCACAAAGCUACUUACUUGUACUCUUUCUACUAUCUAAUAUUUCAAGUGCUUUGUCUAACGUGUCUAUCUCAUCUACAACCUUCUCCAACAAAAAUUAUUAAUGCCCCCUUUCUUCUCAAAAUUUCAGAGACCCCACAAAUCAUGUAAGACGAUAUUAUUUAAUAUCAAUAUUAAAAUAUUAUUAAAAAAGUUGUUGAUUAAAGUGAUUUGAUUCUUAAGUCUAUUAAUGAACCAUUAUAUUUCGAUCUCCUUGUUGGGUUCUUUGGAAAGAAGAAACACAGAAAAAAUUAAUCAACCAUAAGUAAACCUAUAAAAGAAACUAAAUAUUUUUAGGUUUUCUUUUAUAUAUAUAUGGUUAAACAUCUCACAUCAACUAGUAAAAUAAAAAUAUUUAUAUAAUUGGGUGUAAAAUUUAUUUUAUAAGUAAAUUUUAUAAGAUUAAUUUAAAUUUAAAUUUUACUUUUUAAUAUGAUUUCAGAGUCAUUUAGAUCAUAUUCUAACGAGAGUUUGUUAGAUUUAUUAGACCACUGAACCACCUAUAAUAUAAUCUCACGCACGAGUUCACAACUUUAGCAUGAAGGGUGUGGAUUUGAGAUUUCAUAUCGGUUAAAGAUAAGAACAUUUCAUAGUAUACAAGUGACUGCAAAUCUUAUUUUAUAAGUCGAUUUUAUAAAUUGAUUUUAUAAGAUUAAGUUAAAUUUAAAGUUUAUAAUAUAUAUUAUUCUUUUUAUUUUUAUCUAAUUUAUACUUAAUUUUAAUAUAAAUAAUGAGAAACUAUUUUAAAGUAUUGUUUUAUCUUAAAAAUAGACCAAUUUGGUAAAAAAAAUUAGGUGGGUGUCAUAUAGAUACAUCAUAGCCAACAAUGAAAUAUCAAAGGAUUAUUUUAGUACUUCAAAGUGGAAAAUGUUGUCAGUUCUUAAAAUAAGAAAGUUCAAAAAAUUAGUUCCUAAUUUUUUAGUUAUUUCAUAAACUUCAUGGUAAUUAAAUUUUAGAAAUUUAGAAAGUUGCUGAACAAUCUUUUAAAAUUUAAACUAAAAUAUUGACUAAAAGAGUUGUAUAUAUAGUUUUUGAAGUGAUUAUUUGGAUAUUGAAAUAUUCAUGUGAUGAAAAUAAUCUUUUAGUGCCAUAUAAUAAUAAGGAUGAGAAGAGAAUUUUUGUGGGUACAAUUAUUGACAACAAUUUUGGUAGACGACAAAAACGUUCAACUAAUGAAUAAGUGUUUUGAAUUGUUUUACAAAACCUAAUUGGGAUGGACGCGGCGGCAGAUUAAGAAUUUUUGUUGUCCCAUCAUAAUGCUCAAUGAUUGAGAUAAAGUUUUCAACUUGAUGAUAAUUAGGUCACAAUGCUCAUAUGUAGGUCUUCUUAUACACUCACAAAUGCUACAAGGUUAUCUCACUCCUCCGUAUUUUUAAUUUUUUAUUGAUAAGUUUAUUCGUUAAUACCACAUUAAGUUGUGAUAAAUUCAGUUAUGCAAAUUCUCUCACCAUCAUAGUUUUCAUACACUUUCAUAUUUUUCAUACUAAUGAGAAAAGUCGGUUUUUUUAAUUUUAAAUAAUUAAAGUAUAAUAUCAUAUUUUUAAAUAAUCUCAGUUACACUAUCGCACUCUCAUAUCUUCCUUCUAGUCGCAUACCUCCCUUUCAGACUCUAUUCAUUUUGAUUGAUUGAACACGAUAACAAUAAAGGAAGUGCUAGCAGUUUCUUAAAUAGAGUCCUUAGUUGGUAACUCUUAGUUUCUUUCAUACGUUGUUGCUAAUAAGUUAGUGAGAUUGACUCGCUUUUAGCAUAGUACAAACUAGGAAAAGUUUCUCAAAACCAUGCAAUUAAACUGAUGAAAAGUGUUUCUCUCCCGCACCCAAAAAGGUGUUAAGGCUUUUUGACUUGUAGAAACACUUUCCUGCUAUUCGACCUUGCAUAAUUAUUUGACUCAUAUUGCGCUUCUUAGCCAAAUAAGUAUGUUUUCAUUUCCUUGCAAAACUAGAUACAUAAUUAAGGAACCAUGUCGUUCAAUCUUCUUUUCUUUUUUAUAAAAAAAAUUCUUCAUAAAAGAAAUCUAACAACAACAUAAUUCAGACACUUGCACCUAUAAAAGAGAGUCAAGUGUCGAUCUAGUUUGAUGUGAAUCUUGUUCUUUAAGGUCCUAGUCUCAAAUCACCAAAAAACUUACCUCAACCACCAAUGUUCUCCACCAGUCAUCACAAGCAAUCACUACUACUUGAAAAUGAAGAAGACACCAUACUCUUCCAUAUACUUAAAAGGGUAUUGUUGGAAUUAAAAAAAAGUAUGGAUGUGCAGGGAGAAUUUGUCAUUCACUUAAUAGAUAAUUUGUUAGGUUUCUUGAUCAAUAAUUGAUUGCUUGUUCAAUCAAAUAUUAAUCAUAUUUGAAGGGUUUUUUUUAUUUAACUAGUAGAAGAUCCUUGUAUUUUAAAUUGAGAACAAAUAUGAUCUUUUAAUUCAACAUUGUAUCCAGAAAGAAUAAAGUGUUAGAGAAUUAAAGGCAAUACUAGUAUUUUGGGUUAUCUAUGAUAAUUGGUUAGGUGUAAAAUUUGUACAUCAUGAACAAUUACUCCAGCAUUUUCAAUAUUUUCACCUCAUGAAACUCACUGAAAAACAAAAAGAGAGUAUGGAAAGGAGUGUAGAUAGGAAUUACAUGGACAAUUUGAAACCAUAGGAAUAUGAUAGUUUUAAACAAGGUAUGGUAGAUGUCCUAGAAGUAUUUUGUAUGGCACAACUAAAUGUUUGGACAUGAUUAAAGCAUAAGAUACCUAAAGCCCAAUUUUCUUACUCUAACUAGGUACAACGCCUAAUGCUUUUUUGAAAAUGUUGUGAACUUCUCUUAGAAGAUACCAUCUUUACAUUGCAGAUUUUGUGUUUUGAAAUAUAUUAUGGUCUUUGUUUAGGUCGAGGAGGUACUAACCUGCAGGUUCAUUCAAGAUAUAUGCAAGAUCUGUUUAAAGGGCACCAGUGUUCAAUGGACCUUGGGAUUGUUUGCAAACA